UUGAGCCGUAUGCGGGGAAACUCGCACGUACGGUUCUUAGGGGGCUGGGGCGCAGUAAUGCGUCCUGGCUACCCGAC
This is a non-coding RNA of Hahella chejuensis KCTC 2396, 77 nucleotides long. NCBI's taxonomy places the organism in Bacteria, Pseudomonadati, Pseudomonadota, Gammaproteobacteria, Oceanospirillales, Hahellaceae. The record is from Rfam.